GGAAUCCGGAAAGGUCAUAUAUACAAAAGUCCACAUAUAUAGUCAACCAAAACGAAGAUAAGAAAAAGAACAACUCCUGCAUGCUGUAUGCAUCAAACGGAUCAACCAUAAGGCAUCACGUUCACCGCACGAAAAAAGCAAAACCCUUAUAGCAUCAGGUUGUCCUUGGAAGGCAGACGACUGUACAAGUUGAGGAGCAGGUUGGUCCGGCCUCGGAACCACGGGGGCCGGAGGAAGUAUAGCACCAUCACCAUGGCAACCACCCGGAACGGCGUCAGGUACAGUACGACGGGCAUCACCAGUGAGAGCGCAAUGAAGACGGGCGUCAACCUGGGGUCGUGCCAGCGGAGCAGUGACUGUGCGCGCUCCCCCUGCGCAGCCAGGUUGCCGACAACCGUCUGCAGCAUCCCAGCCAGGCUCCGCAGCCGCUCGUAUCUCCGUCUCACGGUGUCCGAGGGCUUGGACGUCGGGAACGUGUCGAAUUCCUCGUCCAGCUAGUCGGGGUAUGACACAUCCUUGUACCACCGCAACAUUGUAUCUAUGUGCGGUGGCUGCAGUCCGUCGAACUCCUCGUCCAGCUCGUUCGGGUGCGCGAGCUCCACGCGUGACAGCAUCAUGUCUAUGUGUGGAGGCCCCUGUGGCCGCCUGAAGUAGUUCCACGCCCCGAUAAUGAUCAUGCACAAGAACACG
This 690-nucleotide ribosomal RNA is filed under the name Triticum aestivum (bread wheat). Its description in RNAcentral is "partial small subunit ribosomal RNA". Lineage: Eukaryota; Viridiplantae; Streptophyta; Magnoliopsida; Poales; Poaceae. The record is from RNAcentral.